UUCAAAGCUUAGAAGACCUGAGUGCUUCAUUUGAAGCUUUAGGUCUUUUUGAGCAUAUGAAUCUUUUCGUUUGAGGAAGGGCAUUCGAAAAACCCUCGUUUCCUCUGUGUUUUGGCUAAACGAAUCUGGACCAGGUAUUGAGUCCUUCUUCUUCGUUCUUCCUUUUUCUUCCUUCAGUUUUCUCUUUCUUCUUCGAUCCAAAUCUCCACUCGUACCUUGAUUCCGUUCAGAUCUGAUUUCUCACUUUCUCUGUCCGAAGUCAAGAAAUCUGAUUCAAAACCAGUACAAAUGAAAUAAAGUAAGACCCAAAGCAAUUUGCCAUCAGUCAUCACCCUUCCAUUCUGCAAUCAUUAGCUGCAAUGU
Nelumbo nucifera (sacred lotus) is the source of this 363-nucleotide long non-coding RNA. RefSeq lists it as uncharacterized. NCBI's taxonomy places the organism in Eukaryota, Viridiplantae, Streptophyta, Magnoliopsida, Proteales, Nelumbonaceae. The record is from RefSeq and is a predicted model, not a curated record.